AUACCUGCUAGGGGAGAUACCAUGAUCAUGAAAUGAUCAUGAAUCUGGGUUUCCCAGGGCAAGGCUCAUCUAUUACAUUGUGAAUGUACUGACCCCUAAGUAUGGGAAACUUGGCAUAGGUUGUGGUAGUUGGGGACUAUAUUUAUAAUCUCCUC
This 155-nucleotide small nuclear RNA is filed under the name Mus caroli (Ryukyu mouse). RNAcentral's name for it is "snRNA (MGP_CAROLIEiJ_G0035168.1)". It matches the Rfam family "U1 spliceosomal RNA". Rfam says of the family: U1 is a small nuclear RNA (snRNA) component of the spliceosome (involved in pre-mRNA splicing). Its 5' end forms complementary base pairs with the 5' splice junction, thus defining the 5' donor site of an intron. Lineage: Eukaryota; Metazoa; Chordata; Mammalia; Rodentia; Muridae. The record is from RNAcentral.